RNAcentral lists this ribosomal RNA (253 nucleotides) under uncultured bacterium. RNAcentral describes it as "partial 16S ribosomal RNA". It matches the Rfam family "Bacterial small subunit ribosomal RNA", at positions 524 to 776 of the family's 1533-position model. The record is from RNAcentral.
UACGUAGGGGGCUAGCGUUGUCCGGAUUUAUUGGGCGUAAAGAGCGUGUAGGCGGCCAGGUAGGUCUGGUGUGAAAACUCGAGGCUUAACCUCGAGAUGUCAUCGGAAACCAUCUGGCUAGAGUCCGGAAGAGGAGAGUGGAAUUCCUGGUGUAGCGGUGAAAUGCGUAGAUAUCUGGAGGAACACCGGUGGCGAAGGCGACAUCCUGGACCAAUACUGACGCUGAGGAGCGAAAGCCAGGGGAGCAAACGGG